GCUGGGCAUGGUGGUGCAUGCCUGUAAUCCCAGAGGCUUCAGGAGCUGAGGCAGGAGGAUCACAAGUUCAAAACCAGCCUCAGCAAAAGCAAGGUGCUAAGUAACUCAGUGAGACCUUGUCUCUA
Molecule: small RNA, 125 nt
Filed under: Marmota monax (woodchuck)
Lineage: Eukaryota; Metazoa; Chordata; Mammalia; Rodentia; Sciuridae
Source: RNAcentral